RNAcentral lists this transfer RNA (78 nucleotides) under Marinilabiliales bacterium. RNAcentral describes it as "tRNA-Pro". It matches the Rfam family "tRNA". Rfam says of the family: Transfer RNA (tRNA) molecules are approximately 80 nucleotides in length. Their secondary structure includes four short double-helical elements and three loops (D, anti-codon, and T loops). Lineage: Bacteria; Pseudomonadati; Bacteroidota; Bacteroidia; Marinilabiliales. The record is from RNAcentral.
CGGGGUGUAGCGUAGCCCGGUUAGCGCGCCUGCUUUGGGAGCAGGAGGUCGCAAGUUCGAAUCUUGCCACCCCGACAA